This 2905-nucleotide ribosomal RNA is filed under the name Escherichia coli. Its description in RNAcentral is "23S ribosomal RNA". It matches the Rfam family "Bacterial large subunit ribosomal RNA". Lineage: Bacteria; Pseudomonadati; Pseudomonadota; Gammaproteobacteria; Enterobacterales; Enterobacteriaceae. The record is from RNAcentral.
GGUUAAGCGACUAAGCGUACACGGUGGAUGCCCUGGCAGUCAGAGGCGAUGAAGGACGUGCUAAUCUGCGAUAAGCGUCGGUAAGGUGAUAUGAACCGUUAUAACCGGCGAUUUCCGAAUGGGGAAACCCAGUGUGAUUCGUCACACUAUCAUUAACUGAAUCCAUAGGUUAAUGAGGCGAACCGGGGGAACUGAAACAUCUAAGUACCCCGAGGAAAAGAAAUCAACCGAGAUUCCCCCAGUAGCGGCGAGCGAACGGGGAGCAGCCCAGAGCCUGAAUCAGUGUGUGUGUUAGUGGAAGCGUCUGGAAAGGCGCGCGAUACAGGGUGACAGCCCCGUACACAAAAAUGCACAUGCUGUGAGCUCGAUGAGUAGGGCGGGACACGUGGUAUCCUGUCUGAAUAUGGGGGGACCAUCCUCCAAGGCUAAAUACUCCUGACUGACCGAUAGUGAACCAGUACCGUGAGGGAAAGGCGAAAAGAACCCCGGCGAGGGGAGUGAAAAAGAACCUGAAACCGUGUACGUACAAGCAGUGGGAGCACGCUUCGGCGUGUGACUGCGUACCUUUUGUAUAAUGGGUCAGCGACUUAUAUUCUGUAGCAAGGUUAACCGAAUAGGGGAGCCGAAGGGAAACCGAGUCUUAACUGGGCGUUAAGUUGCAGGGUAUAGACCCGAAACCCGGUGAUCUAGCCAUGGGCAGGUUGAAGGUUGGGUAACACUAACUGGAGGACCGAACCGACUAAUGUUGAAAAAUUAGCGGAUGACUUGUGGCUGGGGGUGAAAGGCCAAUCAAACCGGGAGAUAGCUGGUUCUCCCCGAAAGCUAUUUAGGUAGCGCCUCGUGAAUUCAUCUCCGGGGGUAGAGCACUGUUUCGGCAAGGGGGUCAUCCCGACUUACCAACCCGAUGCAAACUGCGAAUACCGGAGAAUGUUAUCACGGGAGACACACGGCGGGUGCUAACGUCCGUCGUGAAGAGGGAAACAACCCAGACCGCCAGCUAAGGUCCCAAAGUCAUGGUUAAGUGGGAAACGAUGUGGGAAGGCCCAGACAGCCAGGAUGUUGGCUUAGAAGCAGCCAUCAUUUAAAGAAAGCGUAAUAGCUCACUGGUCGAGUCGGCCUGCGCGGAAGAUGUAACGGGGCUAAACCAUGCACCGAAGCUGCGGCAGCGACACUAUGUGUUGUUGGGUAGGGGAGCGUUCUGUAAGCCUGUGAAGGUGGCCUGUGAGGGUUGCUGGAGGUAUCAGAAGUGCGAAUGCUGACAUAAGUAACGAUAAAGCGGGUGAAAAGCCCGCUCGCCGGAAGACCAAGGGUUCCUGUCCAACGUUAAUCGGGGCAGGGUGAGUCGACCCCUAAGGCGAGGCCGAAAGGCGUAGUCGAUGGGAAACAGGUUAAUAUUCCUGUACUUGGUGUUACUGCGAAGGGGGGACGGAGAAGGCUAUGUUGGCCGGGCGACGGUUGUCCCGGUUUAAGCGUGUAGGCUGGUUUUCCAGGCAAAUCCGGAAAAUCAAGGCUGAGGCGUGAUGACGAGGCACUACGGUGCUGAAGCAACAAAUGCCCUGCUUCCAGGAAAAGCCUCUAAGCAUCAGGUAACAUCAAAUCGUACCCCAAACCGACACAGGUGGUCAGGUAGAGAAUACCAAGGCGCUUGAGAGAACUCGGGUGAAGGAACUAGGCAAAAUGGUGCCGUAACUUCGGGAGAAGGCACGCUGAUAUGUAGGUGAAGCGACUUGCUCGUGGAGCUGAAAUCAGUCGAAGAUACCAGCUGGCUGCAACUGUUUAUUAAAAACACAGCACUGUGCAAACACGAAAGUGGACGUAUACGGUGUGACGCCUGCCCGGUGCCGGAAGGUUAAUUGAUGGGGUUAGCGGUAACGCGAAGCUCUUGAUCGAAGCCCCGGUAAACGGCGGCCGUAACUAUAACGGUCCUAAGGUAGCGAAAUUCCUUGUCGGGUAAGUUCCGACCUGCACGAAUGGCGUAAUGAUGGCCAGGCUGUCUCCACCCGAGACUCAGUGAAAUUGAACUCGCUGUGAAGAUGCAGUGUACCCGCGGCAAGACGGAAAGACCCCGUGAACCUUUACUAUAGCUUGACACUGAACAUUGAGCCUUGAUGUGUAGGAUAGGUGGGAGGCUUUGAAGUGUGGACGCCAGUCUGCAUGGAGCCGACCUUGAAAUACCACCCUUUAAUGUUUGAUGUUCUAACGUUGGCCCCUGAUCGGGGUUGCGGACAGUGUCUGGUGGGUAGUUUGACUGGGGCGGUCUCCUCCUAAAGAGUAACGGAGGAGCACGAAGGUUGGCUAAUCCUGGUCGGACAUCAGGAGGUUAGUGCAAUGGCAUAAGCCAGCUUGACUGCGAGCGUGACGGCGCGAGCAGGUGCGAAAGCAGGUCAUAGUGAUCCGGUGGUUCUGAAUGGAAGGGCCAUCGCUCAACGGAUAAAAGGUACUCCGGGGAUAACAGGCUGAUACCGCCCAAGAGUUCAUAUCGACGGCGGUGUUUGGCACCUCGAUGUCGGCUCAUCACAUCCUGGGGCUGAAGUAGGUCCCAAGGGUAUGGCUGUUCGCCAUUUAAAGUGGUACGCGAGCUGGGUUUAGAACGUCGUGAGACAGUUCGGUCCCUAUCUGCCGUGGGCGCUGGAGAACUGAGGGGGGCUGCUCCUAGUACGAGAGGACCGGAGUGGACGCAUCACUGGUGUUCGGGUUGUCAUGCCAAUGGCACUGCCCGGUAGCUAAAUGCGGAAGAGAUAAGUGCUGAAAGCAUCUAAGCACGAAACUUGCCCCGAGAUGAGUUCUCCCUGACCCUUUAAGGGUCCUGAAGGAACGUUGAAGACGACGACGUUGAUAGGCCGGGUGUGUAAGCGCAGCGAUGCGUUGAGCUAACCGGUACUAAUGAACCGUGAGGCUUAACCUU